This 164-nucleotide small nuclear RNA is filed under the name Castor canadensis (American beaver). Its description in RNAcentral is "U1 spliceosomal RNA (ENSCCNG00000002408.1)". It matches the Rfam family "U1 spliceosomal RNA". Rfam says of the family: U1 is a small nuclear RNA (snRNA) component of the spliceosome (involved in pre-mRNA splicing). Its 5' end forms complementary base pairs with the 5' splice junction, thus defining the 5' donor site of an intron. There are significant differences in sequence and secondary structure between metazoan and yeast U1 snRNAs, the latter being much longer (568 nucleotides as compared to 164 nucleotides in human). Lineage: Eukaryota; Metazoa; Chordata; Mammalia; Rodentia; Castoridae. The record is from Rfam by way of RNAcentral.
AUACUUACCUGGCAGGGGAGAUACCAUGAUCACGAAGGUGGUUUUCCCAGGGCGAGGCUUAUACAUUGCACUCUGGAUGUUGUGACCCCUGCGAUUUCCCCAAAUGUGCAAAACUUGCCUGCAUAAUUAGUGGUAGAGGGGGACUGUGUUUGCACUCUCCCUUA